GAUGAACGCUGGCGGCGUGCCUAAUACAUGCAAGUCGAGCGAACAGACGAGGAGCUUGCUCCUCUGACGUUAGCGGCGGACGGGUGAGUAACACGUGGAUAACCUACCUAUAAGACUGGGAUAACUUCGGGAAACCGGAGCUAAUACCGGAUAAUAUAUUGAACCGCAUGGUUCAAUAGUGAAAGACGGUUUUGCUGUCACUUAUAGAUGGAUCCGCGCCGCAUUAGCUAGUUGGUAAGGUAACGGCUUACCAAGGCAACGAUGCGUAGCCGACCUGAGAGGGUGAGCGGCCACCCUGGAACUGAGACACGGUCCAGACUCCUACGGGAGGCAGCAGUAGGGACUCUUCCGCAAUGGGCGAAAGCCUGACGGAGCAACGCCGCGUGAGUGAUGAAGGUCUUCGGAUCGUAAAACUCUGUUAUUAGGGAAGAACAAAUGUGUAAGUAACUAUGCACGUCUUGACGGUACCUAAUCAGAAAGCCACGGCUAACUACGUG
RNAcentral lists this ribosomal RNA (497 nucleotides) under uncultured bacterium. RNAcentral's name for it is "partial 16S ribosomal RNA". It matches the Rfam family "Bacterial small subunit ribosomal RNA", at positions 28 to 507 of the family's 1533-position model. The record is from RNAcentral.